GUCAUUUUCCCUGAUUGAUUAGUGUCCUAUUUACGUUGCCUGUUUUUCGUCCUUAGUUGUUGUACCGUUAAUACAACUUAAGUCACAUUUGUGGUUGGUUCUGUUAUGACUGUUAUUGCCUUUUGUUUAUGCACUGUGGCUUGAUUUUUAUUUUUUUUAGAGUGCUUUUUCUUGAGGUUUAUUUUUUAACUUUACUAAGUUCCUGAUAGUCCUGGUACCCAUGUGUUUUUACCUGUUCCCCGAGCCUGUUCCUGUAUCUGUCUGCAAAGAAGCCAAGAAGAAAUAAAUGCUUCUGUGCUCCGCUGGGGAUGUCGCUCCCUAACCCUCACCCUAACCCUAACCGUCUUCCUGCAUAGGAGCUGUAUAAAGUCCAUCUUCAAAUGCAAAUUAGAAAAAGUGACAUGGAGAUGGACCUUCUACAACUUCAAAUGGAGGGAAAAAAGGAGAUAAAUAAACAAUGAACCACACUUGACUGUUCACUUUGUGCAUUAGUCUUUUAAUUAUAAGUGAUUUUGGCAGAUCACAUCAACACCCUGCAAUCUCUCUAGUCCACUGUGUUCACUUGGGGAUUGUCUUGAUCAUGUUCAUAAAGAGGGCCUUGAAAUAUGCUGGUGUUGUGUAGGUGAUCACUGGUGUGUGUGUGUGUGUGUGUGUGUGUGUGUGUGUGUAGGUGACACUGGUGUGUGUGUGUGUGUAGGUGAUCACUGGUGUGUGUAGGUGAUCACUGGUGUGUGUAGGUGAUCACUGGUGUGUGUGUGUGUGUGUGUAGGUGAUCACUGGUGUGUGUGUGUGUGUGUGUGUGUGUAGGUGAUCACUGGUGUGUGUGUGUGUAGGUGAUCACUGGUGUGUGUGUGUAGGUGAUCAGUGGUGUAUAGGUGAUCACUGGUGUGUGUGUAGGUGAUCACUGGUGUGUGUAGGUGAUCACUGGUGUGUGUGUGUAGGUGAUCAUUGGUGUGUAGGUGAUCACUGGUGAUCACAUACACGCUCACACACUGUGGACACUUUAGACACACCAAUCAGCCUACCAUGCAUGUCUUUGGACUGGGGGAGGAAACCGGAGUACCCAGAGGAAACCCCUGCAGCACAGGGAGAACAUGCAAACUCUGCACGCACAGGAGGCCCCGGUGGGAAUCGAACCCCAGACCCAGGCGAAC
Molecule: long non-coding RNA, 1154 nt
Organism: Ictalurus punctatus (channel catfish)
Lineage: Eukaryota; Metazoa; Chordata; Actinopteri; Siluriformes; Ictaluridae
Source: Ensembl